RNAcentral lists this transfer RNA (77 nucleotides) under Ovis aries (sheep). It matches the Rfam family "tRNA". From Rfam's summary of the family: Transfer RNA (tRNA) molecules are approximately 80 nucleotides in length. Their secondary structure includes four short double-helical elements and three loops (D, anti-codon, and T loops). The record is from Rfam by way of RNAcentral. Lineage: Eukaryota; Metazoa; Chordata; Mammalia; Artiodactyla; Bovidae.
UCCCUGGUGGCUCAGAUGGUAUGGUAAAGUGUCUGCUUGCAAUGCAGGCGACCCAGGUUCAAUGCCUGGCUCGGGAA